This 257-nucleotide ribosomal RNA is filed under the name uncultured bacterium. Its description in RNAcentral is "partial 16S ribosomal RNA". It matches the Rfam family "Bacterial small subunit ribosomal RNA", at positions 524 to 776 of the family's 1533-position model. The record is from RNAcentral.
UACGGGGGGGGGCAAGCGUUUGUUCGGAAUUACUGGGCGUAAAGGGCGCGUAGGCGGUUUGCUAAGUUGGACGUGAAAACUCUGGGCUUAACCCAGAGCCUGCAUCCAAAACUGGCAGCUAGAGUUUUGGAGGGGGAAGCGGAAGUUCCUGGGUUGAGCAGUGAAAUGCGUAGAUAUCAGGAGGAACACCGGUGGCGAAGGCGGCUUCCUGGACAAAAAACUGACGCUGAGGCGCGAAAGCUAGGGGAGCAAACAGG